CCCUUAGAUGUCCUGGGCCGCACGCGUGCUACACUGAUGCAUUCAACGAGUAUUUCCUUGGCCGAGAGGCCUGGGCAAUCUUUUAAACCUGCAUCGUGAUAGGGAUAGAUUAUUGCAAUUAUUAAUCUUGAACGAGGAAUUCCUAGUAAACGCAAAUCAUCAAUUUGCAUUGAUUACGUCCCUGCCCUUUGUACACACCGCCCGUCGCACCUACCGAUUGAAUGGUCCGGUGAAAUCUCGGGAUUGUGGCCAGUUCACUUUAUUGGGAGUUGGCUGCGAGAACUUGCUUAAACCUUAUCAUUUAGAGGAAGGUGAAGUCGUAACA
Molecule: ribosomal RNA, 325 nt
Filed under: uncultured eukaryote
Lineage: Eukaryota
Description: partial 18S ribosomal RNA
Rfam family: Eukaryotic small subunit ribosomal RNA
Source: RNAcentral